AGUGAACGCUGGCGGUAGGCCUAACACAUGCAAGUCGAACGGCAGCACAGGAGAGCUUGCUCUCUGGGUGGCGAGUGGCGGACGGGUGAGGAAUACAUCGGAAUCUGCCCAGUCGUGGGGGAUAACGUAGGGAAACUUACGCUAAUACCGCAUACGACCUUCGGGUGAAAGAGGGGGAUCGCAAGACCUCUCGCGAUUGGAUGAGCCGAUGUCGGAUUAGCCAGUUGGCGGGGUAAUGGCCCACCAAGGCGACGAUCCGUAGCUGGUCUGAGAGGAUGAUCAGCCACACUGGAACUGAGACACGGUCCAGACUCCUACGGGAGGCAGCAGUGGGGAAUAUUGGACAAUGGGCGCAAGCCUGAUCCAGCCAUACCGCGUGGGUGAAGAAGGCCUUCGGGUUGUAAAGCCCUUUUGUUGGGAAAGAAAUCUUUCAGGCUAAUACCCUGGGAGGAUGACGGUACCCAAAGAAUAAGCACCGGCUAACUUCGUG
Molecule: ribosomal RNA, 490 nt
Filed under: uncultured bacterium
Lineage: Bacteria
Description: partial 16S ribosomal RNA
Rfam family: Bacterial small subunit ribosomal RNA
Source: RNAcentral